This 503-nucleotide unclassified non-coding RNA is filed under the name plant metagenome. RNAcentral's name for it is "partial contains small subunit ribosomal RNA, internal transcribed spacer 1, and 5.8S ribosomal RNA". The record is from RNAcentral.
UCUCCGUAGGUGAACCUGCGGAGGGAUCAUUAACACGUUCCAUACCAACGAUCAACUCACUGUGAACCGCAAUGUAUCCGCCUCGGUAGUGCCCGAGCGACGCUUCGGUGUGGGCUGAGAUCCAGGAUGAAGGUGAGUCGCGCAAGGUCGAGGCGUGGUGCGUAUGCGACCUCCCGAGGUAGCUUACGCGUGUAGCCUGCCUGACCGCGCGGCUCAUACGGGUCGAGCGCACUACAUGGCGUGCUGGCUGUGUAACUACAUAGCCAGCAAUGUCAGCCGUCGUCGCGUUGGGAGAGGGCUCCACUCUAUAUAUGCGAUCAGCGGUGAGUCAUCGACCGCUGCACCGCGUAUCCACACGCCCUCUCUGCUGGCUGUGUGCUGUCAUACGGCGCACGGCUCAGAGAGCAGUCAAUCUCUUCGUUGAUCUGAACACAGCACAGCUGACGCAGUCAGCGUGCCUGUAUAACCUUGAACAACUCUUAGCAAUGGAUAUCUUGGUUCUC